This 1693-nucleotide ribosomal RNA is filed under the name human gut metagenome. RNAcentral describes it as "bacterial LSU rRNA". It matches the Rfam family "Bacterial large subunit ribosomal RNA", at positions 830 to 2539 of the family's 2925-position model. The record is from RNAcentral.
CAAUCGAACCCGGAGAUAGCUGGUUCUCCUCGAAAUAGCUUUAGGGCUAGCCUCGCAUUAGUUUACCGGAGGUAGAGCACUGAAUGGUCUAGGGGGCCUCACCGCCUACCGAAACCUAUCAAACUGCGAAUGCCGGAUAAAUGAUGUGCGGGAGUCAGGCCGCGAGAGAUAAGUUCCGCGGUCAAAAGGGGAACACCCCAGAUCGUCUGCUAAGGUCCCCAAGUACGCGUUAAGUGGGAAAGGAUGUUGGAUUGCACAGACAACCAGGAUGUUGGCUUAGAAGCAGCCACACAUUCAAAGAGUGCGUAAUAGCUCACUGGUCGAGUGAUCCAGCGCCGAAAAUGUAACGGGGCUAAAACGCGACACCGAAGCAGCGGGAUGCGUAAGCAUCGGUAGAGGAGCAUUGUGUGAGGGUUGAAGCCAGAGCGAGAGCACUGGUGGACUUCACAGAAGAGAGAAUGCCGGUAUGAGUAGCGAGACCCAUGCGAGAAACAUGGGCGUCGAAGGCCCAAGGUUUCCUGGGGAAGGUUCAUCCACCCAGGGUAAGUCGGGACCUAAGCCGAGGACUGAGGUCGUAGGCGAUGGACAGCAGGUAGAGAUUCCUGCACCACUUAUACUUGUUUGACGAAGCAGUGACACAGAAGGAUAGGACGAGCGCGGUGAUGGUCAACCGCGUAGGCGGCACGAGGCCGGGAAGCAGUGAAGUACACUUCCCGCAAAGGCUGAGUGUUGACAGGACCGAAAAGAAGUAGGGAAGCGUCCGAGUUCACGCUGGCGAGAAAAGCUGCUAAGGAGAGUGUGAGUGCCCGUACCGGAAACCGACGCAGGUGGGCGAGGAGAGAAUCCUGAGACGGACGGGAGAACUCUUGUUAAGGAACUCGGCAAAAUGACCCCGUAACUUCGGGAGAAGGGGUGCCUCGAAAGAGGCCGCAGAGAAUAGUCACAAGCGACUGUUUAGCAAAAACACAGGUAUCUGCGAAAGCGAGAGCUGACGUAUAGGUGCUGACGCCUGCCCGGUGCUGGAAGGUUAAGGGGAAGUGUUAGGGGAAACCCGAAGCAGAGAACCGAAGCCCCAGUAAACGGCGGCCGUAACUAUAACGGUCCUAAGGUAGCGAAAUUCCUUGUCGGGUAAGUUCCGACCCGCACGAAUGGCGUAACGACUUGUGAGCUGUCUCAACAGGAGGCCCGGUGAAAUUGAAGUAUGUGUGAAGAUGCACAUUACCCGCGACUGGACGGAAAGACCCCGUAGAGCUUUACUGUAACCUGACAUUGGAUCUUGAUAACGGAUGCACAGGAUAGGUGGGACGCUGGGAGACGAGGACUUUGGUUUUCGUGGAGCGGCCGUUGGGAUACCACUCUUCUGUUAUUGAGAUUCUAACCUCAAGCCGUGAGCCGGAUGAGAGACAGUGUCAGGCGGACAGUUUGACUGGGGCGGUCGCCUCCGAAAGAGUAACGGAGGCGCCCAAAGGUACCCUCAGAAUGGAUGGAAACCAUUCGAAGAGAGCAAAGUCAGAAGGGUGCUUGACUGCGAGACCAACAAGUCGAGCAGGUACGAAAGUAGGGCUUAGUGAUCCGGCGGUAAGAGAGUGGAAUUGCCGUCGCUCAACGGAUAAAAGCUACCUCGGGGAUAACAGGCUGAUCUCCCCCAAGAGUUCACAUCGACGGGGAGGUUUGGCACCUCGAUGUCGGCUCA